Oryctes borbonicus is the source of this 75-nucleotide microRNA precursor. It matches the Rfam family "mir-1 microRNA precursor family". Rfam says of the family: This family represents the microRNA (miRNA) mir-1 family. miRNAs are transcribed as ~70nt precursors (modelled here) and subsequently processed by the Dicer enzyme to give a ~22nt product. In this case the mature sequence comes from the 3' arm of the precursor. The record is from Rfam. NCBI's taxonomy places the organism in Eukaryota, Metazoa, Arthropoda, Insecta, Coleoptera, Scarabaeidae.
CCGUUGGUUCCGUACUUCCUUACGUCCCAUAGUGUUUUAAGUCGUAUGGAAUGUAAAGAAGUAUGGAGCAGACGU